AUUGAACGCUGGCGGCAUGCUUUACACAUGCAAGUCGAGCGGCAGCACGGGGGCAACCCUGGUGGCGAGCGGCGAACGGGUGAGUAAUACAUCGGAACAUGCCCAGUCGUGGGGGAUAACACUUCGAAAGAAGUGCUAAUACCGCAUACGUCCUGAGGGAGAAAGCGGGGGAUCGCAGGACCUCGCGCGAUUGGAGUGGCCGAUGUCAGAUUAGCUAGUUGGUGGGGUAAAGGCCUACCAAGGCAACGAUCUGUAGCUGGUCUGAGAGGAUGAUCAGCCACACUGGGACUGAGACACGGCCCAGACUCCUACGGGAGGCAGCAGUGGGGAAUUUUGGACAAUGGGGGCAACCCUGAUCCAGCCAUUCCGCGUGAGUGAAGAAGGCCUUCGGGUUGUAAAGCUCUUUCGGCAGGAACGAAACGGUGAGCUCUAACAUAGCUUGCUAAUGACGGUACCUGAAGAAGAAGCACCGGCUAACUACGUG
Molecule: ribosomal RNA, 484 nt
Filed under: uncultured bacterium
Lineage: Bacteria
Description: partial 16S ribosomal RNA
Rfam family: Bacterial small subunit ribosomal RNA
Source: RNAcentral